This 253-nucleotide ribosomal RNA is filed under the name uncultured bacterium. RNAcentral's name for it is "partial 16S ribosomal RNA". It matches the Rfam family "Bacterial small subunit ribosomal RNA", at positions 524 to 776 of the family's 1533-position model. The record is from RNAcentral.
UACGGAGGAUCCGAGCGUUAUCCGGAUUUAUUGGGUUUAAAGGGUGCGUAGGCGGUUUGAUAAGUUAGAGGUGAAAUGUCGGGGCUCAACCCCGAAACUGCCUCUAAUACUGUUGGACUAGAGAAUAGUUGCGGUAGGCGGAAUGUAUGGUGUAGCGGUGAAAUGCUUAGAGAUCAUACAGAACACCGAUUGCGAAGGCAGCUUACCAAACUAUAUCUGACGUUGAGGCACGAAAGCGUGGGUAGCAAACGGG